This 21-nucleotide non-coding RNA is filed under the name Caenorhabditis elegans. Lineage: Eukaryota; Metazoa; Nematoda; Chromadorea; Rhabditida; Rhabditidae. The record is from RNAcentral.
UGAAGCGGAAAAUAUAGAAAG